AUUGAACGCUGGCGGAAUGCUUUACACAUGCAAGUCGAACGGCAGCACGGGGGCAACCCUGGUGGCGAGUGGCGAACGGGUGAGUAAUACAUCGGAACGUGCCCAAUCGUGGGGGAUAACGUAGCGAAAGCUACGCUAAUACCGCAUACGAUCUACGGAUGAAAGCGGGGGAUCGCAAGACCUCGCGCGAAUGGAGCGGCCGAUGGCAGAUUAGGUAGUUGGUGGGGUAAAGGCUCACCAAGCCAACGAUCUGUAGCUGGUCUGAGAGGACGACCAGCCACACUGGGACUGAGACACGGCCCAGACUCCUACGGGAGGCAGCAGUGGGGAAUUUUGGGACAAUGGGCGAAAGCCUGAUCCAGCCAUUCCGCGUGCAGGAUGAAGGCCUUC
Molecule: ribosomal RNA, 390 nt
Filed under: uncultured bacterium
Lineage: Bacteria
Description: bacterial SSU rRNA
Rfam family: Bacterial small subunit ribosomal RNA
Source: RNAcentral